UACGAAGGGGGCGAGCGUUGUUCGGAAUUACUGGGCGUAAAGGGCGCGUAGGCGGCCGAUCAAGUCAGAUGUGAAAGUCCUGGGCUUAACCUGGGGACUGCAUUUGAUACUGAUUGGCUUGAAUGCAGGAGAGGAUAGCGGAAUUCCCAGUGUAGAGGUGAAAUUCGUAGAUAUUAGGAAGAACACCAGUGGCGAAGGCGGCUCACUGGCCCGGUACUGACGCUGAGGCGCGAAAGCGUGGGGAGCAAACAGG
RNAcentral lists this ribosomal RNA (253 nucleotides) under uncultured bacterium. RNAcentral's name for it is "partial 16S ribosomal RNA". It matches the Rfam family "Bacterial small subunit ribosomal RNA", at positions 524 to 776 of the family's 1533-position model. The record is from RNAcentral.